GAUCUUUGGCCCUGGCUGAUGACCUCAAGGCAAAGCCACUGUCUGAAGACAAGAGAGACUUGGACAAAGAAUCUAUGUUAAAAGCAUUCAAAAAUACUGCUGCUGAUCAGCAGUUUAACCUUGAAGCUGCGAUUAAAAAUGUUGACAAAAUGUCCAAUGAGCUGAAGAAACUAAAUGUGGAAAGCCAGCUACUGCUUUGUGACCUUAUUUUGAAUUUCAACCAUCCUAUGAAGAGCAAAGAUUUAAGAGAAGCUGAAGAAAAAACUUGGAGUUUGACAGAAAAGUAAUAACAUCCAUUUUCAUGCAUCGUCUUCUAUUAAUACUGUUUCAGUUUGAACUGUAAAAUGAUAGUAUGGUUUCUUGCAGUUAGGCUAUUUUUAUUUUAAACUGAAAAUGUGGAGUGGAAAAAUGCUAUAAGUAGGUUAUUGAUUUUGAGACGGUUUUUUUAACCCAAAUUUCCCAAAUUAAGACCACUAGGACUGGAAAGACUGAUAUGAUUAACUAGAAAGGUCAGGAAACUGGGCAUGAAGUUUUUCACAUGUUGUUGUCUCCUUUUAAACAAAGACAUACUGGAACAGUAACAAAAGAUUUUAAGUUACUUCAAGUCAAGUCAUUGUUCUCUUAUCUCAGUUGUGCUCUGGAAAAUGGGAUAAGAAACGGUCAGUAAAGGAGGAACUGCAACUUGCCAUUUGAUCUGCCUUCCUCAUUCUAAAAAUGUUGCUGAGAAAGGGGGCCAAAUAGCAGGUUACUUCUGGAAAACCAGAAUUACUUUCAUUCUAGUUUCUGUAGUGACUUUCUAAUGCACCUAGCUACCAAAGAAAGAGAGUUAGUGGUCUAAAUACUCUAUGCUGAAAUGCUCUUGGCCCAAAAUUUGAGUAGUCAGUAUUUUCGUGUAGUUCAUUACAAUUAAUAUUUAAUCAUACUUUACUUGUGGACAUGUUUGAAUGUUGAGGUGUGU
This is a long non-coding RNA of Harpia harpyja (harpy eagle), 958 nucleotides long. RefSeq lists it as uncharacterized. NCBI's taxonomy places the organism in Eukaryota, Metazoa, Chordata, Aves, Accipitriformes, Accipitridae. The record is from RefSeq and is a predicted model, not a curated record. The transcript is spliced from 3 exons.